RNAcentral lists this signal recognition particle RNA (149 nucleotides) under Chlorocebus sabaeus (green monkey). RNAcentral describes it as "Metazoan signal recognition particle RNA". It matches the Rfam family "Metazoan signal recognition particle RNA". Rfam says of the family: The signal recognition particle (SRP) is a universally conserved ribonucleoprotein. Lineage: Eukaryota; Metazoa; Chordata; Mammalia; Primates; Cercopithecidae. The record is from Rfam by way of RNAcentral.
GCCGGGCGUGGUGGUGGACGCCUGUAAUCCCAGCUACUCGGGAGGCUGAGGCAGGAGAAUUGCUUGAACUCGGGAGGGCGGAGGUUGCAGUGAGCCGAGAUUGUGCCACUGCACUCCAGCCUGGUUGACAGAGCAAGACUCUGUCUCAA